RNAcentral lists this ribosomal RNA (320 nucleotides) under uncultured eukaryote. RNAcentral's name for it is "partial 18S ribosomal RNA". It matches the Rfam family "Eukaryotic small subunit ribosomal RNA", at positions 1470 to 1796 of the family's 1831-position model. The record is from RNAcentral.
CCCCUAGAUGUUCUGGGCCGCACGCGUGCUACACUGAACAGUUCAACAAGUCUUAACCUUGGCCGAUAGGUCUGGGUAAUCUUUGAACGCUGUUCGUGAUUGGGAUAGACCUUUGCAAUUAUGGGUCUUCAACGAGGAAUUCCUAGUAAACGCAAGUCAUCAGCUUGCAUUGAUUACGUCCCUGCCCUUUGUACACACCGCCCGUCGCACCUACCGAUUGAAUGGUCCGGUGAAAUCUCGGGACGGCGGCUUGGUCGCUUGCGUCCGACUGCUGAAACUUGAUUAAACCAUAUCAUUUAGAGGAAGGUGAAGUCGUAACA